Molecule: ribosomal RNA, 252 nt
Filed under: uncultured Bacteroidales bacterium
Lineage: Bacteria; Pseudomonadati; Bacteroidota; Bacteroidia; Bacteroidales
Description: partial 16S ribosomal RNA
Rfam family: Bacterial small subunit ribosomal RNA
Source: RNAcentral
UACGGAGGAUGCGAGCGUUAUCCGGAUUUAUUGGGUUUAAAGGGUGCGUAGGCGGUCCGUUAAGUCAGCGGUAAAAUUGCGGGGCUCAACCCCGUCCGGCCGUUGAAACUGGGGGCCUUGAGUGAGCGAGAAGUAUGCGGAAUGCGUGGUGUAGCGGUGAAAUGCAUAGAUAUCACGCAGAACCCCGAUUGCGAAGGCAGCAUACCGGCGCUCAACUGACGCUGAGGCACGAAAGUGCGGGUAUCGAACAGG